This 492-nucleotide ribosomal RNA is filed under the name uncultured bacterium. RNAcentral's name for it is "partial 16S ribosomal RNA". It matches the Rfam family "Bacterial small subunit ribosomal RNA", at positions 29 to 507 of the family's 1533-position model. The record is from RNAcentral.
AGUGAACGCUGGCGGCAGGCCUAACACAUGCAAGUCGAACGGCAGCACAGUAAGAGCUUGCUCUUACGGGUGGCGAGUGGCGGACGGGUGAGGAAUACAUCGGAUUCCACUUUUUCGUGGGGGAUAACGUAGGGACACUUAUGCUAAUACCGCAUACGAUCUACGGGAGAAAGCAGGAGAUCUUCGCACCUUUCCCGUUUCAAUUAGACGAUGUCGGAUUAGCUAGUUGGCGGGGUAAAGGCACACCAAGGCAACGAUACGUAGCUGAUCUGAGAGGAUGAUCGGCCACACUGGAACUGAGACACGGUCCAGACUCCUACGGGAGGCAGCAGUAGGGAAUCUUCGGCAAUGGGCGCAAGCCUGAUCGAGCAAUACCGCGUGAGUGAUGAAGGCCUUCGGAUUGUAAAGCCCUUUUAUUAGGAAAGAACAGAUGCAGAUGUAUCCGCCGAUAUUCUGACGGUACCCAAUCAGUAAGCACCGGCUAACUACGUG